RNAcentral lists this ribosomal RNA (608 nucleotides) under Gonioctena sibirica. RNAcentral's name for it is "partial 16S rRNA". It matches the Rfam family "Bacterial large subunit ribosomal RNA", at positions 1825 to 2714 of the family's 2925-position model. The record is from RNAcentral. Lineage: Eukaryota; Metazoa; Arthropoda; Insecta; Coleoptera; Chrysomelidae.
GUCCUUUUGAAAUUAAUUUUAGGUCUGGCCUGCCCACUGAAGUAUUUAAAUGGCCGUGGUAUUUUGACCGUGCUAAGGUAGCAUAAUCAUUAGUUUUUUAAUUAAAAGCUGGAAUGAAGGGUUAGAUAAAAAAAUAACUGUCUCUAUUUAAUUAUAUUAGAAUUUUAUUUUUAAGUUAAAAAGCUUAAUUUAAGUUAAAAGACGAGAAGACCCUAUAGAGUUUUAUUAUGAUUUAUUUUUUUUAUUUUAGAAUUUAUAUAUUAAAUUUGAUUUAUAAUUUGAUUGGGGCGAUUUAAAAAUUUAUUUAACUUUUUUUGUAAUAUAACAUUAAUUUAUGAGUAAUUGAUCCAUUUUUUUUGAUUAUAAGAUAAAAUUACCUUAGGGAUAACAGCGUAAUUUUUUUAGAAAGUUCAUAUUGAAAAAAAAGAUUGCGACCUCGAUGUUGGAUUAAAAUAAAUUUUUGGUGUAGAAGCUAAAAUAUUAGGUCUGUUCGACCUUUAAAAUUUUACAUGAUCUGAGUUUAAACCGGUGUGAGCCAGGUUGGUUUCUAUCUUUAAUUAAUUAAAAUAUUUUAGUACGAAAGGACCAAAUAUUUAAUAUAUUAUUUU